Onychostoma macrolepis is the source of this 431-nucleotide non-coding RNA. Lineage: Eukaryota; Metazoa; Chordata; Actinopteri; Cypriniformes; Cyprinidae. The record is from the annotation of a RefSeq genome assembly.
GUUUGUGACGAUCUGCAGUGACUUACAGCUCAGAGCACUGAGAGACUCAACAGAGAACUGAACUGAUCUGACUGAACAUGGACAGAUCCUUUAUACUGAUUCUCAUCUUGGGAACAGGUUUGGUGGCUGGAGACAACAUCGAGCCAGAUAAAGGGACAGAUAAAAUCUCUGAAGAAACAGACACCGUCAAGCUGAGCUGCUCAUAUAGUACAAGUAGUGAAUAUGUUGUGCUUUACUGGUACAGAAAGUAUUCUAAUGGAGAACCGCAGUAUUUAUUACGCAAAGGUGCCCGAUCACGUUAUGAUGAUCACACCUCUGAUGGUCGAUUUAAUUCGGCUACAACACGUACAUCCACUGAACUCACUAUUACUGAUGUACGUCUGUCAGAUUCAGCUCUCUAUUAUUGUGCUCUGAGAGUAGAAGCCCAGUGA